UGCAGCAUUAUAGUUUGAAACAGUGCACAUAUGGAAAUCAACCAUUGUCUUUUUUUAUUUUGCUGAAGUUAAGCUCUUUAUUUUUUUAUUUUUUUUAGGCAAAGCCACCACAACCACAGAAAGGGUUUAUUGUUUUAUGAAAACACUAGUUUUUGUUGGACUAACCCUUUACGCUGAGAGAUGGGACAAGGGGCCUUAGGCAGUAUAAUCACUGCAGCUUGUUGUAUUAUGUUUGAGAGUCUUUUAGGUAGUUGCGUUGUGGUGAGAUGCAGAGAUAUAUACAAAGUUUUUUCUAAAAUACCGUUCCACUAUUCACCAAAAUAAAAUUAUUUAAUUUUUGAUAUGUUUGUUCACAAAGUAGUGAGUGUUCUAUACAAGUGCUGAAUUUGUAUUCAAAUUGUGAAAUCUGGGUGAAGGAACUGUAUAGAAUUAAAACUAUUUAGCAGUUUACAAAAGGUAGUUAAAUGGUUACUCCAAUCACUUUAAUGUUUUUGAGUGCUUGGAGUCUUUCAUGCUGUACCUACUUAGAUAUCAAAUGUUGCAGCUAGAGUUUAUGAAUGGCUUAUGUCAGUUCUGUGCACCAUUCCUUGCACAGGUGCUCUUCAUUCAAUGGGAGAGAUCACCUGACGCUCAGAGCCAACGGAUGGCAGGCAAGACAAGCAUCUGGCUUCUGCAACUUUGCAGACGCUGAAUGUUGUUCCUCCACCAUUGAGGGAGGCCUGGAGUCCAAGUAAGAGGCAAACCAUUGCAAAACGUUUGCAUCCUAACCAGGAUAUGGCACCAUGUUAUUCCUUCCAUCAUUACCACUGCAGCCCAGUGAUGCUUAGAGUAACUCUCUAACAAGCAAAUUUGGUAGUUGAUCCUUCAUUUAAAAAUUUAAUUAAGUAGAAUUCAAAUGUGCUAAACAAUUAGAACACUUAAGUUCUGUAUCAAUUGUGUAUUGCUCCUAAAUUUUUAUAAAUACUUAGGUCUGCUGAAUGCAUAGUGGUCCCAUUAUUAGAAAGAAAAUAUAACUAAUAUGUGAGUUGGGAUUCACCAAUCAGGAGACACAAUAAAUUACUGGAUCCUUCUCCAUCCUCUUCCUCAUUCAAUGUGUACCUGAUUAAAGAAAGUACAAAUAUGUGUGUGGCAUGCAGAACUCCUACUGAACCAGAGAGAAUGUAGAACUCGGCAUCUUGCACCAGGGGGUGUUUCAAAGAGGUUGGUCUCUGGCAGAAGCAGAAUUCUUACUCUCAUGUUGCUUUCCUAGAGGUUUUGAUGAGAAGUCAUCCUGUGAGAUGUAAUUCUGCAAAAGCUGGAUAUCUACAGUACUUCAUUACCGCACAGUCUUUCAAUAUGGGUUACAAUGGGAGUGUUAAUAAUUCAAAACAAUUAGGGAUGCUGUUGCCUAAUCCCCUAGUUUGUACUGUUGGUUUGGGGUAAUAGGUAAUGUAUGUGGAGAUAUUUAUAACCCUUGACAACCAGGGUCAAAGUCCAGGCUCUCUCCUCACCCAAUGCCAGGUGUGCAUGUCAUUAAUAUUAUUUUUUGUGGAUGGUGUGUGGGGUAGAUCCCUUUCACUCUCUCUUCCACUCCCGCCUGUUCUGAAGGGAUGAGUUGUUAGGAAUUGUAAAUGGCAAAGAUUAGAUAUUUUUGGCUUAAUAAGAUACUCUUGGUCCAGACAGAAUCUGGUUUCUGGUAUUUGCGAAGGUUGUUUUAAUUUUUCUUUUUGUUUUUUGUUUGAAUGUAUACAUGUGUAAUAUACCUAUUAAGAAUGUUUAAUAUAUUGUGGCUAAGUGACAAAAGAG
RNAcentral lists this long non-coding RNA (1785 nucleotides) under Pelobates cultripes (western spadefoot toad). Lineage: Eukaryota; Metazoa; Chordata; Amphibia; Anura; Pelobatidae. The record is from RNAcentral.